RNAcentral lists this ribosomal RNA (402 nucleotides) under Fusobacteriota bacterium. RNAcentral's name for it is "Fusobacteria bacterium partial 16S ribosomal RNA". It matches the Rfam family "Bacterial small subunit ribosomal RNA", at positions 355 to 776 of the family's 1533-position model. Lineage: Bacteria; Fusobacteriati; Fusobacteriota. The record is from RNAcentral.
UGGGGAAUAUUGCACAAUGGAGGGAACUCUGAUGCAGCGACGCCGCGUGAACGAAGAAGGCUUUCGAGUCGUAAAGUUCUUUUAUAUGGGAAGAUAAUGACGGUACCAUAAGAAAAAGCCCCGGCUAACUACGUGCCAGCAGCCGCGGUAAUACGUAGGGGGCUAGCGUUGUCCGGAAUCACUGGGCGUAAAGGGUUCGCAGGCGGAAAUGCAAGUCAGGUGUAAAAGGCAGUAGCUUAACUACUGUAAGCAUUUGAAACUGCAUAUCUUGAGAAGAGUAGAGGUAAGUGGAAUUUUUAGUGUAGCGGUGAAAUGCGUAGAUAUUAAAAAGAAUACCGGUGGCGAAGGCGACUUACUGGGCUCAUUCUGACGCUGAGGAACGAAAGCGUGGUAGCAAACAGG